RNAcentral lists this ribosomal RNA (254 nucleotides) under uncultured bacterium. RNAcentral describes it as "partial 16S ribosomal RNA". It matches the Rfam family "Bacterial small subunit ribosomal RNA", at positions 524 to 776 of the family's 1533-position model. The record is from RNAcentral.
UACGUAGGGUGCAAGCGUUGUCCGGAAUUAUUGGGCGUAAAGAGCUCGUAGGCGGUUUGUCGCGUCUGCUGUGAAAACCCGAGGCUCAACCUCGGGCCUGCAGUGGGUACGGGCAGACUAGAGUGCGGUAGGGGAGAUUGGAAUUCCUGGUGUAGCGGUGGAAUGCGCAGAUAUCAGGAGGAACACCAAUGGCGAAGGCAGAUCUCUGGGCAUUAACUGACGCUGGAGGAGCGAAAGCAUGGGGAGCGAACAGG